GUUCAAGAGCAUCAAGACUGUGAUCGAUCAAGGGUGAAUUGUGACUGAAUUACUGAGCUGCAAAUAAUAUUAAGCGGUUAUUUAUAAAUCGAGGUUAAUCUAAAUCAGUCUCGACUCGCCUUAAAAGUCGUAUGCAACGUGGAACGUUCCUCCAACAAUUCAUUGACACCGCUGUGACUGAUAUCUUGUACAGUGGAGACACUUGAGCCUCUGCGUCAUCCACGUCAGCAAUAACUCAUCACUCCUACUCCAGAAUGCCAAAGAGAAAGAGGGCCCCAACAUUUGAUGACAUUGCCUCAGUUGUUGAAAGGCUAGGCCUCUCACCAGAGGAAGUUACAGCAGCGAGCGACCAUCAGGAAAAUGGAUUAUUUUCUGUGAUGGUCAUUGAACUGGAAAGGUCUAACACCCUCAGCUAUCGCUGUCAACUAUACGACGUGUGGAGUAAGGGAAGGAUGGCCAAUGCAUAACCCCACUCCAUCUCCCAGAUUUCCCAUUCACUACCCCCAGGUCCUAUCAAUCACUACCCCAGCAAGUAUACACCACGCGGCAGCUGCCUUUAACACUAGCACAAGCAGCUGAAACGGUUGAUCCCGCUAAGGUAUCCCACCUUCCACCACUCCAACCCAAGCCUGGAUACAUUUUUCUGUUUGCAGGUAGUUCCUCGUCAUGUGAGGACUGGAAGGCUUACCAAAAAAGAUGAAUUCAGAAGGGAUCUCACAGCCUUCCUCGCCGUUCACCAAAACUAAGGGUGCGGUACUAUGCAGGAAAGGAAGCGCCUGUGCUAAUUCACUACUUUGGUGAAGAGGCACACUCCAAUGUCCCCAACCCACGGCAACAGCCAACAGCAGCAAGCAAGGGAUUUAAUCCGAUCAGCUACCUCAAUUAUAGAUGAAAUGUCCCGGCGAAAGACUGAAACACCUGGCAAAGUAUACUCUGAUAUGACCAAUAACCCACCACCACCCCCAAAUGCAUCAUUCAUGCCAGUUUACCGACCUCGCAACUUGGCACAAGUGAAGAACAAUUCGUUGAGCAAGAGACGUCACUGUUUUGGACCGGGACGAGUUGGUGGCAACACAUAUGAUGGGUGACAUUCUCCCUCAUUUGUCACCCAUAUGGGGACUCAACCCGCAACCCUUCUGGCAGUGGCAGCACCAGAAAUGGUUGAAGAGGCCAAGGCAGUUAUUAAAAGCAAACACCAAGGGGCACGCAUUUUUCACUGACACCGCGUUUGACCUCGGCAAUUUUUGUUUCACCCCUUGUUUUCCGUCAUGAAACAUUUCAAGAGGUACCUGUCCUUCCCCUGGCAUUCCUCAUUCACACCACCCGGGCACAUGGAAAACCACAAACCAUUCUUUUGUACCAUUCUUUCAUUCAUUCCC
Molecule: long non-coding RNA, 1379 nt
Organism: Oncorhynchus tshawytscha (Chinook salmon)
Lineage: Eukaryota; Metazoa; Chordata; Actinopteri; Salmoniformes; Salmonidae
Source: Ensembl